GGCUGGUCCAAAGGUAGUGAGUUAUCUCACUUGACUGUUUAGAGUUACAGAUUGAACUCCUUGUUCUACUACUUUUUCCCUUCUCAAUACUGCACUUGACUAGUCUUAA
Molecule: Y RNA, 109 nt
Filed under: Propithecus coquereli (Coquerel's sifaka)
Lineage: Eukaryota; Metazoa; Chordata; Mammalia; Primates; Indriidae
Description: Y RNA (ENSPCOG00000009799.1)
Rfam family: Y RNA
About the family: Y RNAs are components of the Ro ribonucleoprotein particle (Ro RNP), in association with Ro60 and La proteins. The Y RNAs and Ro60 and La proteins are well conserved, but the function of the Ro RNP is not known.
Source: Rfam by way of RNAcentral